RNAcentral lists this ribosomal RNA (253 nucleotides) under uncultured prokaryote. RNAcentral describes it as "partial 16S ribosomal RNA". It matches the Rfam family "Bacterial small subunit ribosomal RNA", at positions 524 to 776 of the family's 1533-position model. The record is from RNAcentral.
GACGAACCACACAAACGUUAUUCGGAAUUAAUGGGCGUAAAGGGCGCGUAGGCGGCCUCUUAAGUCGAACGUGAAAUCCCCGGGCUCAACCCGGGAACUGCGUCCGAUACUGGGAGGCUUGAAUCCGGGAGAGGGAUGUGGAAUUCCAGGUGUAGCGGUGAAAUGCGUAGAUAUCUGGAGGAACACCGGUGGCGAAGGCGGCAUCCUGGACCGGUAUUGACGCUGAGGCGCGAAAGCCAGGGGAGCAAACGGG